RNAcentral lists this long non-coding RNA (228 nucleotides) under Nicotiana benthamiana. Its description in RNAcentral is "long non-coding RNA (NBEN_LNC041732)". Lineage: Eukaryota; Viridiplantae; Streptophyta; Magnoliopsida; Solanales; Solanaceae. The record is from RNAcentral.
CUCCGUCGAAAAUUAGGCUACCAGAUUUUCUAUGCUGCCAAAAUUAGGCUUUGUUCUUUUCCAUCCAAUCUGAAAGUUUGGUGGAUCCUGCUUCACAAGCCAGUUCUUGAUUUUCUAUUGUGAAUUAUCUCUAACUUUCUUCGUUUCUCUAUUGGGAAUUUUUUCUGGGUUGAUUGUUGUUUCUGAAGUUGGUGUGGGACUGAGGAAAUUGGGCUCUUGAGGCUCGGG